Molecule: long non-coding RNA, 243 nt
Filed under: Lathyrus oleraceus (garden pea)
Lineage: Eukaryota; Viridiplantae; Streptophyta; Magnoliopsida; Fabales; Fabaceae
Description: Pisum sativum (pea) long non-coding RNA (PSAT_LNC022282)
Source: RNAcentral
GAAAAUCACUUGUUCAAUGGUAUUGGCCCAAAAUGACAUAUAAUGUUUCUUCUUGGCACAUGCAUUUGCAAGUUGAAUUUGGACUUCCUAUAAACAUAAAAGUUAAAGUAGACAUCUUUAGUUUGAUCAUUAAAUUUUAAUGGCCUUCAUCUCAUACAAAAUGAGCAAGUUAUGAUCUUGGGAAGUUGACCUCCAAGUUAGGGUUUAGACAAAAUGACCUUUAAUCUUUCACCUUAAAAAAUG